UUUUAUGGAGAGUUUGAUCCUGGCUCAGGAUGAACGCUGGCGGCGUGCCUAAUACAUGCAAGUCGAGCGAACAGACGAGGAGCUUGCUCCUCUGACGUUAGCGGCGGACGGGUGAGUAACACGUGGAUAACCUACCUAUAAGACUGGGAUAACUUCGGGAAACCGGAGCUAAUACCGGAUAAUAUAUUGAACCGCAUGGUUCAAUAGUGAAAGACGGUUUUGCUGUCACUUAUAGAUGGAUCCGCGCCGCAUUAGCUAGUUGGUAAGGUAACGGCUUACCAAGGCAACGAUGCGUAGCCGACCUGAGAGGGUGAUCGGCCACACUGGAACUGAGACACGGUCCAGACUCCUACGGGAGGCAGCAGUAGGGAAUCUCCGCAAUGGCGAAAGCCUGACGGAGCGAACG
RNAcentral lists this ribosomal RNA (406 nucleotides) under Staphylococcus epidermidis NIHLM088. RNAcentral describes it as "bacterial SSU rRNA". It matches the Rfam family "Bacterial small subunit ribosomal RNA", at positions 1 to 396 of the family's 1533-position model. The record is from RNAcentral. Lineage: Bacteria; Bacillati; Bacillota; Bacilli; Caryophanales; Staphylococcaceae.